AACGAACGCUGGCGGCAUGCCUAACACAUGCAAGUCGAACGAGACCUUCGGGUCUAGUGGCGCACGGGUGCGUAACGCGUGGGAACCUGCCCUUAGGUUCGGAAUAACUCCCCGAAAGGGGUGCUAAUACCGGAUAAUGUCUUCGGACCAAAGAUUUAUCGCCUUUGGAUGGGCCCGCGUUGGAUUAGCUUGUUGGUAGGGUAAAAGCCUACCAAGGCGACGAUCCAUAGCUGGUCUGAGAGGAUGAUCAGCCACACUGGGACUGAGACACGGCCCAGACUCCUACGGGAGGAAGCAGUGGGGAAUAUUGGACAAUGGGCGAAAGCCUGAGCCAGCAAUGCCGCGUGAGUGAUGAAGGCCUUAGGGUUGUAAAGCUCUUUUACACGGGAUGAUAAUGACAGUACCGGGAGAAUAAGCGCCGGCUAACUCCGUG
Molecule: ribosomal RNA, 433 nt
Filed under: uncultured bacterium
Lineage: Bacteria
Description: partial 16S ribosomal RNA
Rfam family: Bacterial small subunit ribosomal RNA
Source: RNAcentral